GUGCUCAGUUCAGCAGCACAUAUACUAAAAUUGGAACAAUACAGAGAUUAGCAUGGCCCCUGUGCAAGGAUGACACACAAAUUCAUGAAGUGUUCCAUAUUCUU
This is a small nuclear RNA of Mus spicilegus (steppe mouse), 104 nucleotides long. The record is from Ensembl. Lineage: Eukaryota; Metazoa; Chordata; Mammalia; Rodentia; Muridae.